GCCUAUUGCUAGUGUGUCUUUGGUCAACAAUCGCAAAACUCCUUUUUACUUCACUUCCAGCUGACGUUCCAGUUUUCAGCAGGGGACAAGAGGGAGAGAGGUUCAAACAAGUCUGACCUUGUAUGCAGAUAUUGCGCACCCAGAGUUUUGUGCCACGAAAAUGGGUUUAGUAGUGCAUUCUGUCUGUGUAGAUAGUGCUUGUAAGAGGACAUUAUAAAUGCUCUAAAUGAGAUUUUAGAUAAUGAAUCUGAGAGCGAACUGCUGGUGUCUUUAUCUGAGGAAGAAUUUCCAUCGCGAAUAGUUCCAGAUCUUCAUCAGAAGACGAUGUUAACCCUGAGAAGGUUCUACUUAAUGCUGAUGAGAAAGGAACAGCUGCCACAAAGACUAAGUCAACUCAAGGAAGUGGAUGUCCUCAAGGUUGGCGUGGACAACAAAAUGCCCAGGGUUCUGGACUACUUCAGUUUCCUUCAGGGUGCCACCAGUGCCUGCUGCCAGCUGCCCUGUGACAGAACCUCCACUUCCCCUUCCACCUCAGCUGCUGCCACUGCCACCCGCUGCCCUGCAGGUCGCCGCCUCCAGCCCCUUCUGGCUGCGAACGUAUGGACAUCAGCCACAAUGUCCCUACUCCUAUGGACGUUUGUGGUACUGUGCAUUCUUUUUUCAGGGGGACAAAUUUCGUAGCAGCCUCUUAUCAGUUAAGGGCCUGCACAACACACAAGCAAGGUGGGCUGCCGACCUUCCUUCGAGAGCUCAGAUCAAAACAUCGCCAGUGGAUGGAAACAUCAACGGACUUCCCACAUAAACACAGCACUAUUUCAUGAAAAGCCAUGUGACAGAGAUCCACCUAUUGGAACUAAUGUGUCUACAUGUAGCACUCCACUGAAUCGGUGUUAUAAGCACGCCAGCAAAGUCAGACCCGCAGUGUGUACCUACAGCGGGGACAGCUCUGGACAAUACCUAUGCUGGCUCUAGCCUAGUAGACACUUGCCAACAGCUUGCAGCAGAAAGUUGUAUUUUGUUGGGUGUAGCACCACUUUGUAAUUGUGUAGAGUAGUAUUUUGGUAAUUAUUUCUUUUCAUUCCCUUAUAAUCUUAUCUGGUUUUAGCCACCCAAGAAUUGUUAUGCUUCUUGUUAUUCUCGUGUUUGG
Molecule: long non-coding RNA, 1147 nt
Organism: Schistocerca americana (American grasshopper)
Lineage: Eukaryota; Metazoa; Arthropoda; Insecta; Orthoptera; Acrididae
Exons: 3
Source: RefSeq, a predicted model, not a curated record